Non-coding RNA from Triticum aestivum (bread wheat), 130 nucleotides. The record is from Rfam. NCBI's taxonomy places the organism in Eukaryota, Viridiplantae, Streptophyta, Magnoliopsida, Poales, Poaceae.
ACUCCCUCCGUCCCAAAAUUCUUGUCUUAGAUUUGUCUAGAUACGGAUGUAUCAAGUCACAUUUUAGUAUUAGAUACAUCCGUAUCUAGACAAAUCUAAGACAAGAAAUUUGGGACAGAGGGAGUAGUUG